Limulus polyphemus (Atlantic horseshoe crab) is the source of this 258-nucleotide long non-coding RNA. RefSeq lists it as uncharacterized. The transcript has 2 exons. Lineage: Eukaryota; Metazoa; Arthropoda; Merostomata; Xiphosura; Limulidae. The record is from RefSeq and is a predicted model, not a curated record.
UGACAUCACACCAACACCCUUUGUACCAUUUGGAGUUUUGCAGCUAGGGUGUGCUGCUGGAGUCAUGGUUACUGCUUCUCAUAAUCCCAAGGAUGAUAUGGUUAUAAAGUAUACUUGGUUCUUUGAAUAGAUCAUCUCGCCUCAUGAUAAAGGAAUUCAGAAGAGCAUUGAGGAAAAUCUUGAACCUUGGCCCUCAUCUUGGAACACUGCAGUCCUCAGUACAAGUCCACUCCGUAAAGAUCCUCUAGAUGAAAUGAA